Long non-coding RNA from Patiria miniata (bat star), 185 nucleotides. RefSeq lists it as uncharacterized. The transcript has 3 exons. The record is from RefSeq and is a predicted model, not a curated record. Lineage: Eukaryota; Metazoa; Echinodermata; Asteroidea; Valvatida; Asterinidae.
GAUUGAGAUCCAAAACCUCCCAAGACAUUUUGGAUUUGCGGAAGUCAUAGAUGUCGAGAAGCAGAAACUGUGUGGUUACUUCAAGAAAGGGGAGGGCAAGAACUUUCAGCUGACGUCAUUGUAUCUGAAUCUCAAGGGAGAAAGGUUCCCAUCUGAAGUCCAUCCAGAUGAUCCUUAAUAAGACA